AUACGUACUGCGCAAACGUUAUUCGGAAUCACUGGGCUUACAGGGUGCGUAGGCGGUUCGCCAGGUCAGAUGUGAAAUCCCACAGCUCAACUGUGGAACUGCAUUUGAAACCUGCGAACUUGAGUGAACUAGAGGCAUACGGAACUUCAGGUGGAGCGGUGAAAUGUGUUGAGAUCUGAAGGAACACCAGAGGCGAAGGCGGUAUGCUGGAGUUUGUCUGACGCUGAGGCACGAAAGCCAGGGGAGCGCACGGGAUUAGAUACCCUAGUAGUCC
This 274-nucleotide ribosomal RNA is filed under the name uncultured bacterium. Its description in RNAcentral is "partial 16S ribosomal RNA". It matches the Rfam family "Bacterial small subunit ribosomal RNA", at positions 523 to 796 of the family's 1533-position model. The record is from RNAcentral.